AACGAACGCUGGCGGCAGGCCUAACACAUGCAAGUCGAACGCCGUAGCAAUACGGAGUGGCAGACGGGUGAGUAACGCGUGGGAACAUACCCCUCGGUUCGGAAUAACUCAGGGAAACUUGAGCUAAUACCGGAUACGUCCGAGGUCUUAAUCGGCCUUGGAGAAAGAUUUAUCGCCGGAGGAUUGGCCCGCGUCUGAUUAGCUUGUUGGUGAGGUAAUGGCUCACCAAGGCGACGAUCAGUAGCUGGUCUGAGAGGAUGAUCAGCCACAUUGGGACUGAGACACGGCCCAAACUCCUACGGGAGGCAGCAGUGGGGAAUAUUGGACAAUGGGCGAAAGCCUGAUCCAGCCAUGCCGCGUGAGUGAUGAAGGCCUUAGGG
RNAcentral lists this ribosomal RNA (380 nucleotides) under uncultured bacterium. RNAcentral describes it as "bacterial SSU rRNA". It matches the Rfam family "Bacterial small subunit ribosomal RNA", at positions 29 to 422 of the family's 1533-position model. The record is from RNAcentral.